RNAcentral lists this unclassified non-coding RNA (321 nucleotides) under Hevea brasiliensis (rubber tree). Lineage: Eukaryota; Viridiplantae; Streptophyta; Magnoliopsida; Malpighiales; Euphorbiaceae. The record is from RNAcentral.
UUCUUUCCUUUUCUUGCUUUAGAAGUUAGUUAUUGUAUUUGUGUUUCCUCAUUAUCUUUCAAGGUUCCAUCCGGAGUUCUUUUAUUAUUGAUAAUUUUCUGUCAACUGGUGAAGAAAGGAAAAUAUGAGGAAUAAAUUAUUUGACUCAAUUUUGCUGCCUUUUAUGAACAUUUAGAUUUAAAUUAUAAUUCAGAGUGCUGAACAUGAUUCUUCUGCCUAAAAGUAGUUCUGAAAGCAUACUAUUAAUUUGAUAGAAUUCAAAAUUUUAAUUUUCAAUAGCAAAAUUGUGCUGAACUUAUUUAUUUGAUCAGUCUUAAAGGA